UGGCUGUAGCCACAUGAAUUCAAUUUGAGGAGUUUACUGGCCGGUUGUUGUUCUGUUGUCGACAUAUCUGCUUACCGAACUUCUUACAUCU
Non-coding RNA from Solanum lycopersicum (tomato), 91 nucleotides. NCBI's taxonomy places the organism in Eukaryota, Viridiplantae, Streptophyta, Magnoliopsida, Solanales, Solanaceae. The record is from Rfam.